Molecule: ribosomal RNA, 374 nt
Filed under: uncultured organism
Description: partial 16S ribosomal RNA
Rfam family: Bacterial small subunit ribosomal RNA
Source: RNAcentral
GUAGGUGGCAAGCGUUGUCCGGAAUUAUUGGGGCGUAAAGCGCGCGCAGGCGGUUCUUUAAGUCUGAUGUGAAAGCCCACGGGCUCAACCGUGGAGGGUCAUUGGAAACUGGAGAACUUGAGUACAGGAGAGGAAAGCGGAAUUCCACGUGUAGCGGUGAAAUGCGUAGAGAUGUGGAGGAACACCAGUGGCGAAGGCGGCUUUCUGGUCUGUAACUGACGCUGAGGCGCGAAAGCGUGGGGAGCAAACAGGAUUAGAUACCCUGGUAGUCCACGCCGUAAACGAUGAGUGCUAAGUGUUAGGGGGUUUCCGCCCCUUAGUGCUGCAGCUAACGCAUUAAGCACUCCGCCUGGGGAGUACGGCCGCAAAGGCUG